RNAcentral lists this ribosomal RNA (232 nucleotides) under uncultured bacterium. Its description in RNAcentral is "partial 16S ribosomal RNA". It matches the Rfam family "Bacterial small subunit ribosomal RNA", at positions 99 to 334 of the family's 1533-position model. The record is from RNAcentral.
CAGACGGGUGAGUAAUGUCUGGGAAACUGCCUGAUGGAGGGGGAUAACUACUGGAAACGGUAGCUAAUACCGCAUAACGUCGCAAGACCAAAGAGGGGGACCUUAGGGCCUCUUGCCAUCGGAUGUGCCCAGAUGGGAUUAGCUAGUAGGUGGGGUAACGGCUCACCUAGGCGACGAUCCCUAGCUGGUCUGAGAGGAUGACCAGCCACACUGGAACUGAGACACGGUCCAG